This 191-nucleotide microRNA precursor is filed under the name Citrus sinensis (sweet orange). RNAcentral describes it as "miR12108 stem-loop (csi-MIR12108)". Lineage: Eukaryota; Viridiplantae; Streptophyta; Magnoliopsida; Sapindales; Rutaceae. The record is from miRBase by way of RNAcentral.
UAAAUAUAUAUGUAAGGAUUCUCAUGUGCAGACGUUCGCACUUUUUAAAAUGCAGAUUUAUGUUAGUUCAUGCUAAUUAGCUCAAAUUUAACAUUCUUAUUCAUGUUAAUUAGCUCAAAGUUAACAUUUUCAUAUCUGCAUUUUAAAACGUGCGGAUGUCUGCACUAAAGAAUGAUUAUAUAUAUGUUUCU